AGUGUAAAGAAUUGCUAUUUUCUUAUGCAAGUGAUCAGCCUACUGCUAAAUACAUGGCUACAACUCACAGUAAAGCCUGUGGGGCCCUCUACAGGAUAACUCACGCACACACACCCAUAACUGCUAGGCCAGCGCACACACCAAAUUUCCCCCUUUAGCUGAACAUUGUGUGACGGCGGGAUUCUAGAGUGACGGACGGCCCAGCUGAGCCAAUGCAAGAAGACUACCUCCAGUGUGAACCAAUCCGAAGAAUCGAACUUCCAGAAUCAACCUACUUUCUGUUUUGUAUAAAUUGUAUUGUACCGGUUCACUCUUUCUCUUUUCCUGCUGUUCUGUGCGAGCGAAUGGGAGAGCCGUAUUUACGUGUACCAGAUAUUCUCACUCUGAAUAAACUGUCGCUUGUCGUACAAUUUUAACACCUUGUCUGAAUCGAUCCUUAACCGGCUCACCCUUCUAAUAUCCUUUUAUCAACAGAACUUGGUAGCAGAGGAUGGUUUAAUAACGGUCCGGUCGAAGUGAGUUGAUUUGGGUGUGAGAAGGAGAGUGACGGAAGGACGGUUGUAGGAAGACGGGUGAAAGAAAUUCGGGGGAGGACAACAAUUCUGCUCAACUCGGGAAACUGAUCUAAAAGGUGCACCAUAAGAAAGGUAAGCAAAACCUGUUAAAUCAAACUUUGCAUAUUGUCGUAUAGUCUGUCUAAAUUUUGAUCAGUAUUUCCGAGUAAGUAUGAAUUCUUGUGUAAAUUUAUAAUUUGCUGACAAGUUGAAAGUACAGUGAAGUGAACAUAUGUGGUACAAACCGGCGACGGCCGGGUGAUUAAAUCAUUGAUGAGAUAUCAGUAAGGGGAUAGCUAAUUACUAUUCAUUAAAUCUGGCGCCGAGGGGAUAAAUUGUAAUUUUGUCCCGUGACCCGGUCAGCACAGUCUGAUAGCUUUCAAUGAUGAGGGAUCACUUUUGAGGCCUGGAUUAGUUCCGAUAGGGAUUAGGGAUUGAUAUCAGUAAGGGGAUAGCUAAUUACUAUUCAUUAAACCUGGCGCCGAGCCCGCGACUCGGUCGAAGUCCAGUCUGAUAAACAGGUCCAAAAUAAGCUGAUAGGGGUCAGGGAGAUAACGUGUAUUUGUAACUGUUCAUAUUAAAAUGUAAUGUGGUUGUAAUCGUCUCCAUUAAGAUUGUUGAUGGUUUGAGAGACAGAGAGAGAGAGAGAGAACUCAAGAAGGGUUGUUGGGUAAAUCCGAAACUUAUAUGUUGUAUGUAAACUUUUAUGUUGUCCGAAAAUUCUGUGUUGUAUGUAAACUUCCAUGUUGUAUGUACCUAUGACUUCUGUGUUCUGACAGUUGUUAUAGAAUUUUAUUAAUUGGCCUGUACUGAGUUAUUUUAAUAGGAAUGAGUGAAUUGUGAUUGACCAAUAUGUUAAAUUCCUUCGGGACCCUGUUUGUUCUGAAAUCUGCAUAGAAAACUGUCCUAAUUAUAUAUAUAUUGGGUUGUGUAUAGAGGUGAGGGAAAGCAGAGGCUGUGUUUUAACAUGUAAAGGACACGAUUAUGAAUGUUGGAAAUUCUAUGUGAAUUUCGUAUGAAUGACUGUAGUAUUGAGAAAACAUAUUAACCAGAGUUUGCGUUCCAUGAUUUUGAGACCGGGGGAAAUUAAAUUGAGAGAAACGUUUGUCGCGGAGUAAACCGCUAGGUGGGGAUACGUAACUGGGCUAUUAUGCACACGUGCUGAUAGACAAGGCCACCUCAGUAGUCGAAUGACCGUGCAAACUUGAUUGACAGCCGCCGGGCUAAAACACUGAUUUUCGCUUUUUUCAUUCCUGUUGAUAUUGCCUAAAGAGAUUGCUAUAGAAUCGCUCAAAUUUAAAUGCAUAAUCAGGAACAAAAUGACUGAUGUAUAAUUGAAAUAAUAUCUGAAUAUAAUAUUUAAAUAUUGAGACUAAAUAGUUGAAUAGAUCCCUUGGUUGUGCGCUCCACAAAUCCCAUACCGACCCAUGCGUUUUUCUUGAACUAAAACAUACAAAGGAGAAGCUCAGAGAUAAGACAGAGCACGUGCAGCAGUGUCUCUUCGAGUACAUCGUGGGUAUUAAUCAACGUCGGGCGAAGUAUAUGCUAACUAUAUUCAGAUAGAAGGAGAGAAUUCCGAUUAAAACUACGAUUAAAUUCCGAUUGAAUUAAAUAAAAUCACGAUUAAAAAUUCACAAUGGCGACCCUCAAUACUCCAAAGCUGAGGUUUAAUGAGUUCCUAGAACAGAAAAAUAGAAUAUAGAUCAGGGGGACGUCUGCAAGAUGUUCGGUAAACAAUGUUGCACAUAUAUUCCUAAUAAUACCAGUCCAGAUGAUAGAUUGUGAAGUUUAAAAACUAAGGCGGACUUGAUGCACUAUCUGCUAAGAUGAGGUCCACAGGGGGGGUGGAGGAGUCUGUUCUCUUGGCCUGGUUUGGUAAGUGCACUGGUAUGAUGGUUACUGGAUUUCUGACCCUAAUUCUUGUAUUAUUUGUUAUUGAUGUGAUAUGCUGCUUGCAUCAUACCGUGUUUUAAGAAGUCUGUUACAGAUGUGGUGAAGGCUUCAGGCAUGAUGCCUUUUGUUUGAUGCUCCAGUUGGCGAUGCCGAUACUGAAGCAUGCUUUCAGGGGAGGAUGGGACUGACUGAGGAUGACACAUGGUAUGCUGGGUUUGGAGUCCCUGGGUGGCAAGGAGCCCACCUGGUACAGGAUAGGAGUAGCUGAGAGGACUAGAUGGUUUCUAAUAAUUCUUUACUCUGUUUUCCAUGACCAAAGUUUUAUCCUACAUCUUACAUGUCAAUAACAAUAAAGUUUUAUCCUGUUUUUGAUAAGUGACACCCUUGUGGGUGACAAAAGGGGGAAACAAAGGCAUAUAUCACUUGUUAUUAAUAAUAAACUUUUUAUUAUUUUCAUGAAAUGCUAUGACUGCUGAAAUAAAGGUUAAUGAGUGACGGUCUUUUUGUUAGAUAACAGGAGCCAGGUGCGAGAUAACGGUAUGGAGCAUGAGACCCAUCUUUCAGUUUUUGCAGCCAUUUUAGGAGGGGGAUCCAGUUGCUUUUAUUGAUUAAGCUUCUCCAUUGGAUGUCGUGUCCCAUCUGGGAUGGGAAGAGGGGGAAAUUAUUGAAAUUAUUUUUCUUUGUGGGCCAUUUCCGUAUAGACAGCCUAAACAAGGUAUUUUUCCUUUUUGGAUUAUGUUUUCGUUUUUGCUUGAAGUAAUGUAUCUGGACUAUAUCUCUUAGGAGAUGUGAAGAGAGGGAAUCGCAACUUUUUCCUGCUGGAAAAAGUUGGCUUAUGUGGACAAUCAUUUUACUUUUAUUUUGAGAUGUUCUCCGCUCUGUUAAAAUGAGGGUUGUAAGUUCCUAGGUGGCUGGUAGCCAACUUAGUACAUAGUGGGAUUGAAUGGAGAACAUGAUGGUAAUACAUAUAUAUCUAUACCAGUUUAAUACCGUGCCUUAUUUCAUAGUCCCUUUGGGAGAAGUUUCUCUUUGUGUCUGGAUCUAGUUAGGUUGUGUCACGUCUCUGGUGAGACGUGAAGAGAGGGUUUUGUAAAGAAUUGCUAUUUUCUUAUGCAAGUGAUCAGCCUACUGCUAAAUACAUGGCUACAACUCACAGUAAAGCCUGUGGGGCCCUCUACAGGAUAACUCACGCACACACACCCAUAACUGCUAGGCCAGCGCACACACCAAAUUUCCCCCUUUAGCUGAACAUUGUGUGACGGCGGGAUUCUAGAGUGACGGACGGCCCAGCUGAGCCAAUGCAAGAAGACUACCUCCAGUGUGAACCAAUCCGAAGAAUCGAACUUCCAGAAUCAACCUACUUUCUGUUUUGUAUAAAUUGUAUUGUACCGGUUCACUCUUUCUCUUUUCCUGCUGUUCUGUGCGAGCGAAUGGGAGAGCCGUAUUUACGUGUACCAGAUAUUCUCACUCUGAAUAAACUGUCGCUUGUCGUACAAUUUUAA
Molecule: long non-coding RNA, 3949 nt
Organism: Oncorhynchus keta (chum salmon)
Lineage: Eukaryota; Metazoa; Chordata; Actinopteri; Salmoniformes; Salmonidae
Exons: 2
Source: RefSeq, a predicted model, not a curated record